UGGGUAGUCCGCACGAGCGCACCUCACUUUUAGUUGCUACCAUUUAGUUGGGCACUCUGAAAGAACUGCCAGUGAUAAGCUGGAGGAAGGUGGGGAUGACGUCAAGUCCUCAUGGCCCUUACGUGUUGGGCUACACACGUGCUACAAUGGCAUCUACAACAGGAAGCAAGAAUGCGAAUUUAAGCAAAUCCUUAAAAGAUGCCUCAGUUCGGAUUGUACUCUGCAACUCGAGUACAUGAAGCUGGAAUUACUAGUAAUCGCGGAUCAGCGUGCCGCGGUGAAUACGUUCCCGGGUCUUGUACACACCGCCCGUCACACCAUGGGAGUUGGUUCUACCUUAAGGCAAAAUGUUAACCUUUGGGAAACAUUUGACCACGGUAUAGUCAGCGACUGGGGUGAAGUCGUAACAAGGUAGCCGUAGGGGAACCUGCGGCUGGAUUACCUCCUUUCU
Molecule: ribosomal RNA, 451 nt
Filed under: uncultured Pelagibacterales bacterium
Lineage: Bacteria; Pseudomonadati; Pseudomonadota; Alphaproteobacteria; Candidatus Pelagibacterales
Description: bacterial SSU rRNA
Rfam family: Bacterial small subunit ribosomal RNA
Source: RNAcentral